This 445-nucleotide long non-coding RNA is filed under the name Setaria italica (foxtail millet). Its description in RNAcentral is "long non-coding RNA (SITA_LNC005278)". Lineage: Eukaryota; Viridiplantae; Streptophyta; Magnoliopsida; Poales; Poaceae. The record is from RNAcentral.
AUUGAUGCAUGCGUCUGAUCUGAUGCAGCAGUACGUCCCCUCACCGCGCGCGCAAUCGUGAACUAACUCGGCCGAUUCGAUCGAUGAGUACAAGUACAGACGGCAGGGUCGCGGUGGCGAAUUAUAGGCCGAGCGCGCCGAGCGGCGUCUUGCCCUGUCCGGCCUCGAAGUAGAAGGUGAGCAUGGCGAGCAUGGCGAUGCGGGCGUGCUUGAUCUCGGCCAGCUUGAGCCGCUCGAGCUUCUCGGUGUCGGGGAUGUAGACGCCGUCCUUGACGGUGCCGGCGAGGCCGAGCGGGUCGAAGAACUUGCCGCCGGGGUAUCCCUGGUCGCCGGUGAAGUUGGCGAAGUUCUCGGCGGUGCGGGACCAUGGGGUGGCCCACUCGACGGACUGCGAGUCCGGGUUGAAAAAGUCGACCCACCGCUUGGAUUCGACCCACCCCAUGAG